CAGGAUACUCUCUUGGUGUGUACUGGGUGUUAACCUCCUUUUUUUCUGGUACUUGCUAUCCAGCAAUGGGUAGUUUUGUCCAGAUAGUUUACUUUGAAAAAUUAGAGUGUUCAAAGCAGGCAUAAUUGGCAUCAUGAAUACAUUAGCAUGGGAUAAUAGAAUAUGACAUUGGUCUUAUUUUGUUGGUUCUAAGGCCAAAGUAAUGAUUGAUAGGGAUAGUUGGGGCCGCUCGUAUUGAGUUGUCAGAGGUGAAAUUCUAGGAUUUACUCAAGACGAACUAAUGCGAAAGCAUUCGGCAAGGAUGUUUUCAUUAAUCAAGAACGAAAAGUUAGGGGGAGUCGAAGAUGAUCAGAUACCGUCGUAGUCUCAACCAUAAAACUAAUGUCAACCGAGGAUCCGGUA
Molecule: ribosomal RNA, 402 nt
Filed under: uncultured eukaryote
Lineage: Eukaryota
Description: bacterial SSU rRNA
Rfam family: Eukaryotic small subunit ribosomal RNA
Source: RNAcentral